AAGGCUUUAGCUUAAUUAAAGCAUCUGAGUUGCAAUCAGAAGAUGCGGGUUAGCGACCUGUGAGUCUUA
RNAcentral lists this transfer RNA (69 nucleotides) under Florisuga fusca. RNAcentral describes it as "tRNA-Ala". It matches the Rfam family "tRNA". Rfam says of the family: Transfer RNA (tRNA) molecules are approximately 80 nucleotides in length. Their secondary structure includes four short double-helical elements and three loops (D, anti-codon, and T loops). Further hydrogen bonds mediate the characteristic L-shaped molecular structure. tRNAs have two regions of fundamental functional importance: the anti-codon, which is responsible for specific mRNA codon recognition, and the 3' end, to which the tRNAs corresponding amino acid is attached (by aminoacyl-tRNA synthetases). tRNAs cope with the degeneracy of the genetic code in two manners: having more than one tRNA (with a specific anti-codon) for a particular amino acid; and 'wobble' base-pairing, i.e. permitting non-standard base-pairing at the 3rd anti-codon position. Lineage: Eukaryota; Metazoa; Chordata; Aves; Apodiformes; Trochilidae. The record is from RNAcentral.